Molecule: unclassified non-coding RNA, 348 nt
Filed under: soil metagenome
Description: partial contains 5.8S ribosomal RNA, internal transcribed spacer 2, and large subunit ribosomal RNA
Rfam family: 5.8S ribosomal RNA (bases 1-120)
Source: RNAcentral
GUUGAAGAACGUAGCGAAAUGCGAUAAGUAAUGUGAAUUGCAGAAUUCAGUGAAUCAUCGAAUCUUUGAACGCACAUUGCGCCCAUCAGUAUUCUGUUGGGCAUGCCUGUCCGAGCGUCAUUUCAACCCUCAGGGCCCGUUCGCGGGAACUGGUGUUGGGGAUCGGCCUCCCCCCGGAGGCCGGCCCCGAAAUGCAGUGGCGGCUCUACCGCGAUCUCCUCUGUGUAGUAGCGAUACCUCGCAGCUGGAUAGUGGUGGUGCCACGCCGUAAAAUCCCAACUUUACCAAGGUUGACCUCGGAUCAGGUAGGAAUACCCGCUGAACUUAAGCAUAUCAAUAAGCGGAGGA